CUGGUAUACAUGUUUCCCAUUCUUCAUCUUGAUUCAUCCUCAAGAAGUAUCCAUGCUCAGCUGCAAUACCAAGUUUCUCACAAGUUGGAAACCAGUCAGCUAGCGUCUUUCGGCUUCUAGCACUGACGAUGAACACCAUAUUGUUCUUGUCUCUGCACAAAGAUUUGAUGAUUUCAAUGGUUUUAGCACUUGGUUUCUUAUCAAUUGCAUUUUGAGGCAUCAAAGUUCCAUCGUAGUCCAGAAGGAUUGCCCUGGUUGUUGUCCUUUUAUAUGCUGAAACUAUAUGCUCCAUUGAAAGCUUCCUAAAAUUCGGAUCAAGUGCAACAACUCUGAAACUUAAGCCAAAUCCAAUACCCCAACAUCUUCGUCUCACAUGAUCCUUGCAUGUUCUCUCCAAAUCUUGUAAGAAACUGCGAGCCCAGUAUCCAACAUCAUGGGUGCUAACAUAUCUGUAAUGUUUCUCAUGCCUAAGUUGCUUCUCUGGCUCAGGCAUUACUAAAGCAGAGUCCAUUGCGUCGGCAACUACAUCAAUGUUCCAUGGAUUCACUCGGAUUGCUCCGCUCAAAGAGGGAGAACACCCAAUAAACUCAGACACAACUAACAUGCUCUUCUUUGGUGUAGAAGAGUCCAGUUUCAGAACCUUAUCCAGACUCUCAUUUCCUUGACGACUAAUUAUAUACUCGUAUGGUAUAAGGUUCAUGCCAUCCCUGACAGCAGUGACCAGGCAACACUCCGCAACAACAUAAUAAGCAAUCCUUUCAUAAAACUUAAGUGGCUUAUCAAUCAAUAUAACUGGUUGAUAUCCAGGCCUUCCAAAUACUUCAUUAAUUCGCUUCACUGUCGAAUUUGUUUCGUCCUGCACUUCUUGGACAUCCUUUCCUUUGCCUCUAGCAGGAUUGGCUAUCUGCACCAAAACAACCUUCCCCUGCUUCUCUGGGUGCUGCAAUAGAAGUUGUUCCAUUGCCAAUAAUUUC
This 974-nucleotide unclassified non-coding RNA is filed under the name Hevea brasiliensis (rubber tree). Lineage: Eukaryota; Viridiplantae; Streptophyta; Magnoliopsida; Malpighiales; Euphorbiaceae. The record is from RNAcentral.